GCGCAUUACUCAUGAUGUCGCCAUGCAUUCCAUUACUCUGUAGACAAAAACGAAUGCUCCAGUUGGAACGCUAUUGAAUAUAUAUGAUAACAACAUCCUGAAGAUUGAUUCUCUACUUAAUUUGACCAGUUUAUUCAACCUGGAAUAUAGCUUUUUGAAGUUUUUGUCCAAGUUCCCCUGGACCGGUGCCAGCGUUUGGACAUGUGAACUAAACGUGCUAGCAAAAGUAGCUAAUUGGACACUAGUAAUAGACAUUAUCGAACAAAACAACGAUUUAUUGCGGAACUCGGUUUCCUGGCACUGCAUUCUGAUGAAAGAUCAUCAAAGAACUACCCACCACAAAUGGACCAGGCAGCGUGGUAACCAGGAGCAGAGGGUUCUGGACUCCUGGACUUGGGAGAAGAUACUGGAAGGCAAGGGACCCUGGGUACAGGCUGGGGAAUAUCGCCGCCCCAAGGAAGAGCUGGAGGCAGCGAUAUGAGUUGUGGCUAUCCAAGGCACUCCUGGACAUCACCAAUAGAAGAGUCUUGGAGCAGCCCCUGGGAUGAGUGGAAAUGCAUCGGGGAGUACGAACAAAGGAUCCAAUUCAGGAAAGUCGAAUUUCUGGUCUAAAUGCUGGCUCGGGAGAGACGAAGGUUGAAAGUCAUGCAUCCUCCGAUACACAACCCAACCAAGCCACACUGCUUCUUAACACAGCACGCAUCCAACCCGGAAGCCAGCCGCACUAAUGUGUCAGAGGAAACACUGUGCACCUGGCAACCUUGGUUAGCGUGCACUGCGCCCAGCCCACCACAAGAGUCGCUGGUGCGCGAUGAGACAAGGAUAUCCCUACCGGCCAAGCCCUCCCUAACCCGGAUGACGCUUUGCCAAUUGUGCAUCGCCCCAUGGACCUCCCAGUCGUGGCCGGUUACGACAGAGACUGGGCGUGCACCUAGAGUCUCUGGUGGCACAGCUGGCACUGGAGUACAGCACCCUUAACCACUGCACCACCCGGGAGAACCCAUCUUGUAUUUUUUUUUAUAAAUAAAGCCCUAGUACAAAGCUUCAUAAGGAAAACACUUUUUCUUCCUCAACUUGUUUUCCC
Molecule: long non-coding RNA, 1084 nt
Organism: Oncorhynchus tshawytscha (Chinook salmon)
Lineage: Eukaryota; Metazoa; Chordata; Actinopteri; Salmoniformes; Salmonidae
Source: Ensembl